UACGGGGGGGGCAAGCGUUGUUCGGAAUUACUGGGCGUAAAGGGCUUGUAGGUGGCCAACUAAGUCAGACGUGAAAUCCCUCGGCUUAACCGGGGGAACUGCGUCUGAUACUGGAUGGCUUGAGUGUGGGAGAGGGAUGCGGAAUUCCAGGUGUAGCGGUGAAAUGCGUAGAUAUCUGGAGGAAUACCGGUGGCGAAGGCGGCAUCCUGGACCGACAUUGACGCUGAACGGCGAAAGCUAGGGGAGCAAACGGG
This 254-nucleotide ribosomal RNA is filed under the name uncultured bacterium. Its description in RNAcentral is "partial 16S ribosomal RNA". It matches the Rfam family "Bacterial small subunit ribosomal RNA", at positions 524 to 776 of the family's 1533-position model. The record is from RNAcentral.